CAUGCUAUCUUCCUGUGCCAAGAAAGCCUAACUCAUUGAGAAUAGGCAGUUUGCCAAGAUUCCUAUCAGCAAUAAUAGAAGUGAGCAGAGGGGCCUGCUCAGAGAAUGGAGUUCUUUGCAGUUUCUAGAUCAAGAGGAAUCCAAAUCCUAGAGCUGCAACCCCAAUAGAUAGAUUGUAGAUGAUGCCAACAUUUAACUGUUCCUUUAAAAUCAUCUGUGCCAGGUUCAGACUGAUAGAUUGAGUCUGCCAUCUGAUAUUCAUUUACUUAGGAGAAAGUCCCUUUGAACUCAUUAGGCUUCAGUCUGAAUAGGUAGGUUUAAGACGCCACUGCAACAUCUUUGAAAUAUUUACAAGGAAUGAAGCUUCAUUGGGGUUGGUAAGAACAAUGCUUAUCUGAUAUUCUAUGUAUUAACAUCCUCCUUGAUCUCUUCCACAUUGUCCUACUUUCUCACAUAUGGUCUUUUAGCUCCAAUUCUCAUUUUUCUUUCCACACUCAGUCAUGAGUUGAGGCACAACAUGGACUGGAACAGCUGGUGGAGCAGCUGCUGCAAAGACUUUGGGCUACUUCUGUAUCAGAGCAGUGCACAAUGCUUGGAAAAUCUGCCUAGGCAGGAAUGGGGUAUAUAGGAAAUGUGUUGUUGUCCAACAGUAUCAUUGUGUGUGUUUGCUCAGUCAGCAUAGCAACUGCAGGCAGGAGAUGUGAUUUUUAUCUUGAGAUAUCAAAUUACAUUCAGGGUGGAUUCUACUGACAUACCAUUACAUGGUAAAGAGAAUCCCCAAAUAGGUUUGUUAAAAUAAUGCAGACAAAACAAUAAUACAUCAGAUUAUACACUUCACCUUUUCAACACCAUAGUGAAUCAUGCAACCCAGACUUCAUCAACAUACUUGACAAUCAUAUUACCUCAUUUUUAAAACUGGUGAAUAGAAACAAACUUUACAACUGAUGCCUAAUAGGAUUGCAAAGUUUUAAUCAUGAAAGAACAGCAUGAUUGUCUUUCUUGUGUUAUCCUUCCUAAGCCUAAAGUUUCAAAUAGCUCCAUCCCUGUCUCAACAUGUUCAACAAUGUUGCAUCUAGAGCUGGCCCUCCUGUUAGGCGGAAUGAGGUGGUCAACUCAAGUGACAGAGGACCAUUGGGAGCAGUCCCAGGUCCCUGAAAGACAAAUCUUAGAAUGAGAAGAGCUGGAGGAAGAAGAAGGAAAAAAAGAUAUUCUCCAAAGACCCACCUUGAGUGACAACACAAAUGUCUGAAAACUCACCAGCUAAUCACUGAUUUGGGUUUUAAAUACUGAGGGAAUUGGAAACUGAUGACCUGGCAACCUUGUUACCUCUUAUCCUACAAAUGAAAACAUUUCCACAAGCCCAAGAUUCUUUUUUUAUAUGUAGUUUUUAAAAAACUGAUGACACAAAAACAUGAAUAUAAUACAAUAAUACAAAAAAGUGGGACCAUCUGGCGAUAUAACCAAUUUUUCCUCCAUUACAGAGCUCCAUUCCUGCUCCAAAACUGCAUUGAUUCUUGUGAAGGUAGAAGCCCGACCCUUUUGAAAACACAAACUCAGUAAAUUCUCCCCAUAUAUUGACAGAGCUAUUCUUCUGUAGCAAUCCCCUUUUAAUGUUCAUAUUACAACUUAAUUUACCAUUAAUAGACAUAUUCCAAACUUCUUCAUACCAUUAAUU
Molecule: long non-coding RNA, 1675 nt
Organism: Pogona vitticeps (central bearded dragon)
Lineage: Eukaryota; Metazoa; Chordata; Lepidosauria; Squamata; Agamidae
Source: Ensembl